GGGGAGAUGCCAGAGUGGUCGAAUGGGGCCGCCUGCUAAGCGGUUAUCGGGGGGUAACCCUCGAUCGCAGGUUCGAAUCCUGUUCUCCCCG
RNAcentral lists this transfer RNA (91 nucleotides) under Anaerolineae bacterium CFX9. Its description in RNAcentral is "tRNA-Ser". It matches the Rfam family "tRNA". Rfam says of the family: Transfer RNA (tRNA) molecules are approximately 80 nucleotides in length. Their secondary structure includes four short double-helical elements and three loops (D, anti-codon, and T loops). The record is from RNAcentral. Lineage: Bacteria; Bacillati; Chloroflexota; Anaerolineae.